GAGGGCGAAUUAGGAGAAGAGAGAAGGAGAGGAUGGCCAACCAGAAGAGGGAAAGGAGGGAAAGGAGGGAGAAGGAAAAUGAGGGGAGCAGUAGGGUUUUUUUUCGACCCGCGCGAAGACCUGGUUUUGUAGGGUGGUUUCCCGACGGCUUUCCGUCCAAAUUUUCGGUUUUCUUCAACCUCCCAUCACCCUCAAACACUCUCAAGAUAUCCCAGCAUCCAAUUCGACCCAAAAAUCAACGAGUUUUGUUGUGAUUUCGUGAAGAACACCCACACGGGUGCCGUGAGAUCUUUGCUCCAAAUCUACCAUUUCUGAAACAAUUUCUUUCAAUUACCACUACCCAUACACUUCCUUGAGCCUAGAAACAAUGCCCAAUUGUUGGUUGGGGCGGUGGAGUUGAGUAGAGGACGAAUCAAUCACACCCAAAACUAGGGUUUCCGAUGGGUUUUGAUAAAAUUGGAGCAUUUUCAAGCAAAAUUGGCCUUGGUCACAGGCGCCGAUCGUUUGGGACGCCUUGAUGUUCGUGCUAGGAAGUUGUAGCGCGGACUCCAGGUCUUCUUAGCUGAGCUUUCUUAUCGUCGAGGAAUCGUGACAAUUCUUAGUAUUGAAGAUUAUUCGAGGAGGCUUUAUCGGAGCGUCGGAGAAGAAGGUAGAGCGCGGAGGGACUGAACCGGCAGCCGUGGUCUCCUCUCUGCUAUGCGACAGAACCGGGUUUGGUGUUUGUUUGUUUGGGGGUUUUGGUGGAAAUUGAAUUUAGAGAUCGAUCGAUCGAUCAUCGAUGGCAAAAGUUUUGAGCAAAACCAGCCUGUUGUCGUCCUGGCAUCAUCAUCAUCAAAACCAAAAAAUCAGUAUCUUUGUUUUCCCAAAGAGUUGUAAUUACAAUAAAUCAGGGUCUUUCUCUUGCUCUUUCAAACUGAAUCUGGACAUUUCAUCACUAUCCUUGUCCACAACAAAGAGUGAUUUUCACGAAAAAAUGAUUGCUUUUGGGUUGCUGGGUUGGUGGUGGAGGAGGAGGCUACAAGAGAGAGGGAGGGUAAUGAAGCUACGGGAGAUAGGGAGGCUAUGGGAGAAAGAGGGAGGGUAGACAGUGGAAUUAAAGAAAAAGAGAAGGGGUAUUGUUGUCCAAAAAAAUUAUAAUUUUUUGUCACAUGGGUUGGAACAAGUCGUUCCAGGGGUAAGGUGGAACCAAAAAAUGACUAAAAUUCGUUUUAUGGGACGAUGUAUCUCAAUCAAUUUGGCGCACCAGAUAUGGGACGGAAUGUCUCGUCCCACUGCGUUCCGUCCUGUCCCACUCGGUACCACAGGAAAGGGACCGGGACAGGGACAGAAUACGGGCUCGGGAUCGUGAUAGGGGCAGGGAUUCUGACCGAGAACGAGAUCGAGAGGAGGCCGAGAGGGACAGAAACAGGGAUCGGAGUCGUCGUUCAAAGGAUAGAGCAAAUGAUUCAGGGGGCAUUCAGACAAAUCGAGGCAUCACUCAUCACGCGAUCGUGACUAUGACAGUUCCUCGUAUUCUUCCCGGGAUAAGGAUCGCCAUAGACAUCAUUCGUAUGCUUGAACUAAUCGUCAAGACGCCUCUCCUUUUCCCUUAUAAGUGAACGAAACUGAACGUACUUUGGCUGCAUUUUUGCAAUUUUUCAGACGUAAAAGUGAAUUAGAUUUUGGUAGGAUGUGUGCAAUGCACAGCAUUGAUCCUUCUAAAUCUUCGUUCUGUUGUUGGAUAGUUGAAUUACUUGUGAUAUCCUUACAUCCUUCUUGGUUGAGAACCAAA
Molecule: non-coding RNA, 1771 nt
Organism: Malus domestica (apple)
Lineage: Eukaryota; Viridiplantae; Streptophyta; Magnoliopsida; Rosales; Rosaceae
Source: RefSeq, a predicted model, not a curated record